RNAcentral lists this ribosomal RNA (392 nucleotides) under uncultured bacterium. RNAcentral's name for it is "partial 16S ribosomal RNA". It matches the Rfam family "Bacterial small subunit ribosomal RNA", at positions 523 to 918 of the family's 1533-position model. The record is from RNAcentral.
AUACGGAGGAUCCGAGCGUUAUCCGGAUUUAUUGGGUUUAAAGGGUGCGCAGGCGGCCAUUUAAGUCAGCGGUUAAAUCGUGGGGCUCAACCCCAUUCUGCCGUUGAUACUGGGUGGCUUGAUUGCGGUCGAGGUUGGCGGAAUUCGUUGUGUAGCGGUGAAAUGCAUAGAUAUGACGAAGAACACCGAUUGCGUAGGCAGCUGACCAGAUCGCAAAUGACGCUCAUGCACGAAAGUGCGGGGAUCGAACAGGAUUAGAUACCCUGGUAGUCCGCACAGUAAACGAUGAAUACUUGUCUUCGGCGAUAUAAUGUCGGAGGCAAAGCGAAAGCGAUAAGUAUUCCACCUGGGGAGUACGCCGGCAACGGUGAAACUCAAAUGAAUUGACGGGG